RNAcentral lists this ribosomal RNA (460 nucleotides) under uncultured bacterium. RNAcentral's name for it is "partial 16S ribosomal RNA". It matches the Rfam family "Bacterial small subunit ribosomal RNA", at positions 338 to 795 of the family's 1533-position model. The record is from RNAcentral.
CCUACGGGGUGCAGCAGUGAGGAAUAUUGGUCAAUGGACGAGAGUCUGAACCAGCCAAGUAGCGUGAAGGAUGACUGCCCUAUGGGUUGUAAACUUCUUUUAUAUGGGAAUAAAAUGUUCCACGUGUGGGAUUUUGUAUGUACCAUAUGAAUAAGGAUCGGCUAACUCCGUGCCAGCAGCCGCGGUAAUACGGAGGAUCCGAGCGUUAUCCGGAUUUAUUGGGUUUAAAGGGAGCGUAGGUGGAUUGUUAAGUCAGUUGUGAAAGUUUGCGGCUCAACCGUAAAAUUGCAGUUGAAACUGGCAGUCGUGAGUACAGUAGAGGUAGGCGGAAUUCGUGGUGUAGCGGUGAAAUGCUUAGAUAUCACGAAGAACUCCGAUUGCGAAGGCAGCUCACUGGACUGCAACUGACACUGAGGCUCGAAAGUGUGGGUAUCAAACAGGAUUAGAUACCCCAGUAGUC